Molecule: small nuclear RNA, 107 nt
Organism: Arvicanthis niloticus (Nile rat)
Lineage: Eukaryota; Metazoa; Chordata; Mammalia; Rodentia; Muridae
Source: RefSeq, a predicted model, not a curated record
AUGCUGGCUUCAGAAGCAUGCAUAGGAAAACUGGAACGACCUAGAGACAAUUAGCAUGACCCUGCGCAAAAGAUGACCUGUGAAUUCAUGGAGUGUUCCAUACUGAU